RNAcentral lists this unclassified non-coding RNA (226 nucleotides) under Hevea brasiliensis (rubber tree). Lineage: Eukaryota; Viridiplantae; Streptophyta; Magnoliopsida; Malpighiales; Euphorbiaceae. The record is from RNAcentral.
GUUGAAAAUAGAAUGCAAAGCUAAUACUUCGGAUGACUUCAACAUGCAAAUGGUACAACAGGUCUCCUUAGAGCGUGACACAUGCCUCCAUCCCGAGACUUUUAUGGGCAAGGAUGGGCUUUCUGGUGUAACACAACACCCUGCAGUGGCACUGUCAGUGAUACCCUCAAAUGAUCAUCUUGCUUCACAGCAGUCUGUGCUGACACAUGAUCAUGCAGUGACACAG